AUUGAACGCUGGCGGCAGGCCUAACACAUGCAAGUCGAGCGGAUGCAGGGAGCUUGCUCCUGGAUUCAGCGGCGGACGGGUGAGUAAUGCCUAGGAAUCUGCCUGGUAGUGGGGGAUAACGUCCGGAAACGGGCGCUAAUACCGCAUACGUCCUGAGGGCGAACGUGGGGGAUCUUCGGACCUCACGCUAUCAGAUGAUCCUAGGUCGGAUUAGCUAGUUGGUGGGGUAAAGGCCUACCAAGGCGACGAUCCGUAACUGGUCUGAGAGGAUGAUCAGUCACACUGGAACUGAGACACGGUCCAGACUCCUACGGGAGGCAGCAGUGGGGAAUAUUGGACAAAGGGCGAAAGCCUGAUCCAGCCAUGCCGCGUGUGUGAAGAAGGUCUUCGGAUUGUAAAGCACUUUAAGUUGGGAGGAAGGGCAGUAAGUUAAUACCUUGCUGUUUUGACGUUACCAACAGAAUAAGCACCGGCUAACUUCGUG
This 484-nucleotide ribosomal RNA is filed under the name uncultured bacterium. RNAcentral describes it as "partial 16S ribosomal RNA". It matches the Rfam family "Bacterial small subunit ribosomal RNA", at positions 30 to 507 of the family's 1533-position model. The record is from RNAcentral.